Molecule: ribosomal RNA, 255 nt
Filed under: uncultured bacterium
Lineage: Bacteria
Description: partial 16S ribosomal RNA
Rfam family: Bacterial small subunit ribosomal RNA
Source: RNAcentral
GAGUUUGAUCGUGGCUCAGGAUGAACGCCGGCGGUGUGCCUAAUACAUGCAAGUCGAGCGCACUGGCCCAACUGAUAUGACGUGCUUGCACUGAAUUGACGUUGGAUUACCAGUGAGCGGCGGACGGGUGAGUAACACGUGGGCAACCUGCCCUGGAGCGGGGGAUAACAUCUGGAAACAGGUGCUAAUACCGCAUAACAAACGAAAACCACAUGGUUUUCGUUACAAAGUAUGGUUUCGCUAUCACUUCAGGAU